Molecule: ribosomal RNA, 332 nt
Filed under: uncultured Acetanaerobacterium sp.
Lineage: Bacteria; Bacillati; Bacillota; Clostridia; Eubacteriales; Oscillospiraceae
Description: bacterial SSU rRNA
Rfam family: Bacterial small subunit ribosomal RNA
Source: RNAcentral
UGGGGGAUAUUGCACAAUGGGGGAAACCCUGAUGCAGCGACGCCGCGUGAGGGAAGACGGUCCUCUGGAUUGUAAACCUCUGUCUUCGGGGACGAAACGAGACGGUACCCGAGGAGGAAGCCACGGCUAACUACGUGCCAGCAGCCGCGGUAAUACGUAGGUGGCAAGCGUUGUCCGGAAUUACUGGGUGUAAAGGGAGCGUAGGCGGGCAGGCAAGUCAGGCGUGAAAUAUAUCGGCUCAACCGGUAUCUGCGCUUGAAACUGCAGGUCUUGAGUGAAGUAGAGGUUGGCGGAAUUCCUAGUGUAGCGGUGAAAUGUGUAGAUAUUAGGAG